UUGAUGAGACUAUCGGUGCAAAUGUCAACAUUGUCAAUGUCCUGGCAGUUGAUGACGACAUUAAUGCAUUCAACCGUGUGAGCUAUGAAAUUAUUGGGGACAGCACUGCACCUGCAUACUUCGACGUGACACCAGG
Haliotis rubra (blacklip abalone) is the source of this 136-nucleotide long non-coding RNA. RefSeq lists it as uncharacterized. The transcript is spliced from 2 exons. The record is from RefSeq and is a predicted model, not a curated record. NCBI's taxonomy places the organism in Eukaryota, Metazoa, Mollusca, Gastropoda, Lepetellida, Haliotidae.